This 465-nucleotide ribosomal RNA is filed under the name uncultured Klebsiella sp. RNAcentral describes it as "bacterial SSU rRNA". It matches the Rfam family "Bacterial small subunit ribosomal RNA", at positions 338 to 795 of the family's 1533-position model. The record is from RNAcentral. Lineage: Bacteria; Pseudomonadati; Pseudomonadota; Gammaproteobacteria; Enterobacterales; Enterobacteriaceae.
CCUACGGGCGGCUGCAGUGGGGAAUAUUGCACAAUGGGCGCAAGCCUGAUGCAGCCAUGCCGCGUGUGUGAAGAAGGCCUUCGGGUUGUAAAGCACUUUCAGCGGGGAGGAAGGCGUUAAGGUUAAUAACCUUGUCGAUUGACGUUACCCGCAGAAGAAGCACCGGCUAACUCCGUGCCAGCAGCCGCGGUAAUACGGAGGGUGCAAGCGUUAAUCGGAAUUACUGGGCGUAAAGCGCACGCAGGCGGUCUGUCAAGUCGGAUGUGAAAUCCCCGGGCUCAACCUGGGAACUGCAUUCGAAACUGGCAGGCUAGAGUCUUGUAGAGGGGGGCAGAAUUCCAGGUGGAGCGGUGAAAUGCGUAGAGAUCUGGAGGAAUACCGGUGGCGAAGGCGGCCCCCUGGACAAAGACUGACGCUCAGGUGCGAAAGCGUGGGGAGCAAACAGGAUUAGAUACCCCUGUAGUC